Molecule: ribosomal RNA, 429 nt
Filed under: Chloroflexota bacterium
Lineage: Bacteria; Bacillati; Chloroflexota
Description: Chloroflexi bacterium partial 16S ribosomal RNA
Rfam family: Bacterial small subunit ribosomal RNA
Source: RNAcentral
UUGGGAAUAUUGCACAAUGGGCGCAAGCCUGAUGCAGCCAUGCCGCGUGUGUGAAGAUGGCCUUCGGGUUGUAAAGCACUUUCAGCGGGGAGGAAGGCGUUAAGGUUAAUAACCUUGGCGAUUGACGUUACCCGCAGAAGAAGCACCGGCUAACUCCGUGCCAGCAGCCGCGGUAAUACGGAGGGUGCAAGCGUUAAUCGGAAUUACUGGGCGUAAAGCGCACGCAGGCGGUCUGUCAAGUCGGAUGUGAAAUCCCCGGGCUCAACCUGGGAACUGCAUUCGAAACUGGCAGGCUAGAGUCUUGUAGAGGGGGGUAGAAUUCCAGGUGUAGCGGUGAAAUGCGUAGAGAUCUGGAGGAAUACCGGUGGCGAAGGCGGCCCCCUGGACAAAGACUGACGCUCAGGUGCGAAAGCGUGGGGAGCAAACAGG